GACGAACGCUGGCGGCGUGCCUAAUACAUGCAAGUAGAACGCACAGUUUAUACCGUAGCUUGCUACACCAUAAACUGUGAGUUGCGAACGGGUGAGUAACGCGUAGGUAACCUGCCUGGUAGCGGGGGAUAACUAUUGGAAACGAUAGCUAAUACCGCAUAAUAUUGAUUAUUGCAUGAUAAUUGAUUGAAAGAUGCUAUUGCAUCACUACCAGAUGGACCUGCGUUGUAUUAGCUAGUAGGUGAGGUAACGGCUCACCUAGGCGACGAUACAUAGCCGACCUGAGAGGGUGAUCGGCCACACUGGGACUGAGGCACGGCCCAGACUCCUACGGGAGGCAGCAGUAGGGAAUCUUCGGAAAUGGACGAAAGUCUGACCGAGCAACGCCGCGUGAGUGAAGAAGGUUUUCGGAUCGUAAAGCUCUGUUGUAAGAGAAGAACGGGUGUGAGAGUGGAAAGUUCACACUGUGACGGUAUCUUACCAGAAAGGGACGGCUAACUACGUG
This 505-nucleotide ribosomal RNA is filed under the name uncultured bacterium. Its description in RNAcentral is "partial 16S ribosomal RNA". It matches the Rfam family "Bacterial small subunit ribosomal RNA", at positions 28 to 507 of the family's 1533-position model. The record is from RNAcentral.